AGUUCCUUCUGCGCUUUGUUCAAGAUGUGGGUCUGGCGCUUUCGUGACUCAAGACCCUCUUAGGAACUUCUUCACUGAACUCAAGGAGGAGAUCAGGCAAGAUCUGUGCUGUGCAGAUCCUUUGGAUUGAGGCUGCUGUGCACAGGAAUAUGGAUGAUACUCUCCAAGCUGUAAGGAAGAAGUCAAGGAUUAAGGAGACCUGGACUGGAGAGGAGCCUUUUUCAAAAAACAACAAUGACAAGAGAAAAUGUAGCCCACAAUGCUCUGAGACAAGAGGGCCUUGUGAAGGGGAAGGAUGAUACCUGGAAAUGGGGAACCAGCUUCCAAGGAAGUAGCUCCUCUGUUUGGGAGACCUCCCACCUACACUUUAGACAAUUACGUUACCAUGAGACAUCUGGACCCCAGGAAGCCCUGAGCCGGCUCAGGGAACUCUGUCGCCGGUGGCUGAGACCAGAAGCACGCACCAAGGCACAGAUCCUGGAGCUGCUGGUGCUGGAGCAGUUUCUGAGCAUCCUGCCUGGGGAGAUUCGGACCUGGGUACAGCUCCAUCACCCUGGAAGUGGCGAGGAGGCUGUGGCCCUGGUAGAGGAGCUGCAGAAAGACCUUGAUGGACCAGCAAUACAAGUCUGGCUUCUGUUCCCACCGUUGUGUACAGUCUCCUCUGGGAGAGGUCACCAGUGCCAUGAGUGGGGCUCGAGGGCAGCUCCAUUGUUCUCAAUGCAAAGCUUUACUGCUGUUUUGAUGCUCCAUACUUGAGGUUCCAGUCCUUGUCAAGGAUCAGGACACUCUCCAGAAGGUGGUGAGUGCCCCAGGAACAACACUUCCUCCUGUACUUCCUGGCAGCCACAUAGCAGCUGAAAUUUGCCCGCAUCCUCCUACUGACCUAGUGGCAUUCAACCUCCAGGAUCCUCAGCAUGAUUCUCCUGCCCCUGAAGCUUCUGCCCUUUCCCAGGAAGAGAACCCAAGAAAUCAAUUAAUGGCACUUAUGCUCCUAACAGCCCAGCCCCAGGAGUUGGUGAUGUUCGAGGAGGUGUCAGUAUGCUUCACUUCAGAGGAAUGGGCAUGUCUGGGCCCAAUCCAGAGGGCCUUGUACUGGGAUGUGAUGCUGGAGAAUUAUGGAAAUGUGACCUCCCUAGAAUGGGAGACCAUGACCGAGAAUGAGGAGGUGACAUCAAAGCCAAGUAGUUCUCAAAGAGCAGACUCUCAUAAAGGAACAUCAAAAAGACUUCAAGGAAGUGUUCCCCAGGUCCUUGAUUUUGAAGAAGAGUGUGAAUGGCAAGUUUUGGCAAGUCAGUGGGGAAAUGAAACAGAUGAAAGGGCAGAUACAGUGAAGAAAGUUUCCCUUUGUGAACGAGACAAGAAGAAAAGGACUCCACCAGAGAAACAAGGCCAAAAGUGGAAGGAAUUAGGAGACAGCUUGACUUUCGGUUCAGCUAUUUCUGAAAGUUUAAUAGGUACUGAAGGAAAGAAGUUUUAUAAAUGUGAUAUGUGUUGUAAACAUUUUAAUAAAAUCUCCCAUCUUAUAAACCAUCGGAGAAUCCACACUGGUGAGAAACCUCAUAAAUGUAAGGAAUGUGGAAAAGGCUUUAUUCAGCGUUCGAGCCUUCUAAUGCAUUUACGGAACCAUUCAGGGGAGAAACCUUAUAAAUGUAAUGAAUGUGGGAAAGCAUUUUCUCAAAGUGCUUACCUUCUAAACCAUCAGAGGAUCCACACUGGGGAGAAACCUUAUAAGUGUAAGGAGUGUGGAAAGGGCUUCUAUAGGCACUCAGGCCUAAUUAUACAUCUAAGGCGCCAUUCAGGGGAGAGACCUUAUAAGUGUAAUGAAUGUGGGAAAGUCUUCUCUCAGAAUGCUUACCUCAUUGACCAUCAGAGGCUCCACAAAGGGGAAGAACCUUAUAAAUGUAAUAAGUGUCAGAAAGCUUUCAUUCUGAAGAAGAGCCUCAUUCUGCACCAGAGAAUCCACUCUGGGGAAAAACCCUAUAAAUGUGAUGAAUGUGGAAAGACCUUUGCUCAGACCACUUAUCUUAUUGACCAUCAGCGACUCCACAGUGCAGAGAACCCUUACAAGUGUAAAGAAUGUGGAAAAGUUUUCAUUCGAAGCAAAAGCCUCCUCUUACAUCAGAGAGUCCACACAGAAAAGAAAACCUUUGGUUGUAAAAAGUGUGGGAAGAUUUUCAGUUCUAAGUCAAACUUCAUUGACCAUAAGAGGAUGCACAGCAGAGAGAAACCUUACAAAUGCACUGAAUGUGGGAAAGCCUUUACUCAAAGUGCUUACCUUUUUGACCACCAGAGACUCCACAAUGGGGAGAAGCCCUAUGAAUGUAAUGAAUGUGGGAAAGUUUUUAUUCUGAAGAAGAGCCUCAUUUUACAUCAAAGGUUCCACACUGGAGAGAAUCUCUAUGAAUGUAAAGAUUGUGGUAAGGUCUUCGGUUCAAACAGAAACCUCAUUGACCAUGAGAGACUCCACAAUGGGGAGAAGCCAUAUGAAUGUCGAGAGUGUGGGAAAACCUUUAUUAUGAGCAAAAGUUUUAUGGUCCAUCAGAAACUCCAUACACAAGAGAAAGCCUACAAAUGUGAGGAUUGUGGGAAGGCUUUCAGUUACAAUUCAAGCCUGCUUGUACAUCGGAGAAUCCACACCGGAGAAAAACCCUUUGAAUGCAGUGAGUGUGGAAGAGCUUUCAGUUCAAACAGAAACCUCAUUGAGCAUAAGAGAAUCCACAGUGGUGAGAAACCCUAUGAGUGUGAUGAGUGUGGCAAAUGCUUCAUUCUGAAGAAAAGCCUCAUUGGACAUCAGAGAAUUCACACGAGGGAAAAAUCUUAUAAAUGCAAUGACUGUGGGAAGGUCUUCAGUUACCGCUCAAACCUUAUAGCCCAUCAGAGGAUCCAUACUGGUGAGAAGCCCUAUGCGUGUAGUGAGUGUGGAAAAGGUUUUACGUACAACAGAAACCUGAUUGAACAUCAAAGAAUUCACAGUGGAGAAAAAACCUACGAAUGUCAUGUAUGUAGGAAAGUCCUUACCUCUAGUAGAAAUCUUAUGGUACAUCAAAGAAUCCAUACUGGAGAGAAACCUUAUAAAUGUAAUGAGUGUGGAAAAGACUUUAGUCAGAAUAAAAACCUUGUUGUACAUCAGAGAAUGCACACUGGGGAAAAACCUUAUGAGUGUGACAAGUGUAGGAAAUCCUUUACUUCUAAGAGGAAUUUAGUUGGCCACCAGAGAAUUCACACAGGGGAGAAACCCUAUGGGUGUAAUGAUUGUAGUAAAGUUUUUAGGCAAAGAAAAAACCUUACUGUACAUCAGAAAAUCCACACAGAUGAAAAACCUUGUGAAUGUGAUGUGUCUGAAAAAGAAUUCUCUCAGACUUCCAACCUUCAUCUUCAACAGAAAAUCCAUACCAUUGAGGAAUUCUCUUGGCUACAAAACACCAAUGAGUCCAAGAUUGAGAUUCAGAAAAUCUAGUGUCAUAUGUAAAAUGGAAUAGAAUCCCUGCCUACUUAAGUAACUGUUGGACAAAUGAUAUAUAUUUCUUCUAAGGAAAAAGUUUAUUAUUUACUCUUUACUAGACAAAUGAGUAGCAUAUAGAAGAAAGUUAAUAGGCCGGGCUUGGUGGCUCAUGCCUGUAAUCCCAGCACUUUGAGAGGCCGAAGCGAGUGGAUCACCUGAGGUCAGGAUUUUGAGACCAGCCUGACCAACAUGGUGAAACCCCAUCUCUACUAAAAUACAAAAAUUAUCCGGGCAUGGGGGCACACACCGGUAAUCCCAGCUACUCAGGAGGCUGAGACAGGAGAGUCGCUUGAACCUGGGAGGGCGGAGGUUGCAGUGAGCCAGGAUCGCGCCAUUGCACUCCAGCCUGGGCAACAAGAGCGAAACUCUUGUCUGAAAAAAUAAAGUUCAUCCCAACUUUCAAGUCUACAAAAACAUAAUCCAAAUCUAAUAACAUAGUUGUAAAUGAGAGCAACAAUAAAAAGUAGACAUGGGCUGGGUGCAGUGGCUCACUCCUGUAGUCCCAGGACUUUGGGAGGCCGAGGUGGGAAGAUCCCUUGAGCCCAGGAGUUCGAGACAAGCCUGGGUAACACGGGGAGACCCGUCUUUAGUAAAUAAAAAUAAAUUUAUUAAUAAAACUAAAAAUUUAAUAAUAAAAAGUGGACAUUGUUUUUUAAAAUGUGUAUAGUAUGCAUUUUAAAGAUAGUGUCACUGCUGUGGAAAACCUGAACAGACAGUAUGAUCCAGAAUGUCAGGUGUGGAGUUGGGCGGACAAGAGUCUGCUGAUGAGGACAACCUAAAAGAGCACUGGAUUUGGAAUCAGAAGACCUACCUUUGAUUCCUGGCUUUCCCUUAAUGGCCAUGUGAUGUUAUUAAGUCAGCCUCUAAAGCUUUAGUUUCCUGUCAGUCAAAUGUUGACAUGAUACCUACCUCACAGGGUUGUUGUGAGGGUUAAGUGAAAGGAUCUUUGUGAAAGUACUUUUUGAAAUCAUUCAGUUGUCAAUAAAGUUGGAUAAAAGAGGUUAUGGUAAAAGUUUAGAACAUGGGAUCAUGUAAGUUUGUGUAUUAAGUCAAUAUUAGAAUGAGGGGGAUUCCAGGAACCUAAAAGAUACUCAUUUUCAUAAGAGGAAGUAUGGUGAAUAGCUAACUGGAAUUUAGUGUUCUAAGAAUAAUUUUGUUAAAUUUACCUUUAAAAAUAUCUGAGGGAGUUACUAGAUUAUAUAUCUAGUUUAUGUAUAUGGAAAAAAAUGUUAUGGCCAGCCAUUAACAGUGAUGCCAAGGAAAACAAUUUAUUUCCCAGCUUUUGAAUUUGAAACUUAACAGAUGGAGAGUGUCAAAAUGGAAGGGCAGUGGUACCCUGCUUUCCCUAUUCAGAGGGAAAAAAAUCCUUGACCCGCAGUUGAGCUGAUGAUCCCUGCCACAGUCAUUGUGAAUUCUAAUCAAUAUUUCAUCAUUGCUGUCAAAUGAUAGCCUGUUACUAAUGAAACAACAUUCUGUCCCAGCACUAAAUUUACUGGGACAUAAAUUUUUCACAUGGAGCCAAGCUCUUCACUGAUUAAGCCAGUGCAGAAUCCACUUGUGGGCAGUCAGUGCCCAUUACCCCCUGUGAACCAUUCUGUGCCCUUGAGUACAUUUGUGGGUUUAACUCAGUCUAUAUUCUUAAGUUGGUAAUUUUUAUGUUGUAAUUCUCAAAGUUCUGUUUCUGUAGCUGGACUAUGAAUAAUACCUGAAUAUGAAGAUUGUGUUUUUUAAUAAUGUCAAAGUGGUGUGUUGAUUAUCAUAAAUGUUAUUAAUUCAACCCCACAGUUUCUUGGGGGCUGGUUCCUCAUUAGAGUGAAAGGUAGCCAAGAGUGAAAACUGGAAGGGGCCUAAGGCUUAAAGUCUUAAGACCUGGAUGUGGUUCAGGUUUUGCCAUCUGCCUCAGAAAAAAUCUCUUCAGUUCUUGGAGCCUUGAAUUCCUCAUCUGUUAAACAGGAGGAAGAAUAUCUACCUCACAAAGUUCUUAUGAGAUAAUGAAUAUAAAAAUGUUUCAUCCAGGUUGUUGAAUCAUCCCAGCUUAUAUAAUAAUUACAAAGGACAUAUGUACUUUAACAAUGGAGAAUGCUGUGAUUUACCUCUUCACCGAGUAACAAAAUGUCACAUUGCUUAGAUUGAGACAGCCCACAUAAUGUGCCACCUUCUGUGAUGUAAUAAGCUGAAAAAUGUUCAACCUGAAUUUAAUCAAGCUUCUUGGACCUCAUUGCCAGGUUACAGGAAAUACAGGAGGCAGAGGAACAAAUAAAAGACACCACGAGAAACAGACACAUCCAGAACGUGGAAUAUUGCAUAAGAAAGCUGCCCUGGAUUCUUCAAAAUAUUAUUAUGAUGAAAAAGAGAGGGGAGUGAAAAUUGUUCAAGCUGUCUUGAGUCUGCUGUGAGUUUAUUAUACCAUUCUCUGCUUUUGUGUAUGUAUGAAAAUUUCGAUAUGAAAGGUAUAAAACAUGGAUGAGGAGGCUUGUUUUUAAAAGAUAAUACUAGAGAGCCGUUAGGUACUAAGAACCAGAAAUAGACUCACAUAAAUGGCCAAUUGAUUUUUGACAGGGGCAAAAGCAAUUCAAUGGAGGAGGGAUCGCCUUUUCAGCAAAUACUGUUGGAGUAAUUGGAUAUCCAUAGGCAGUAAACCAACAACUUCAGGACCUAGGACUGAGCUAAGAAGGCUCAGAUGACUCAAAAGCAUGCUCCUUAGAAGGAAAAAAAAUGUUAAAUUGGACUUCAUCAAAAUUAAGAUAAUUUACCCUGUAAGAGACCUUUUUACAAAGAUGAUAUUACAGGUUGGGAAAAAAUAUUUGCAAAUCAUAUCCAACAAGGGAUUUGUAUGUAAACUACAUAAAGAACUUUCCAAAUUUAACAGUAAUAAGUAAAUACAAUUAGAAAAUAAGCAAAAGACAGACAUUUCACUGAAGUAUAGAUAGCAAAUAAGCAAAUGAAAAGAUGUUCAACAUCAUUAGGCAUGAGGGAAAUGCAGAGUAAAAUCGUGAGAUAUCACCUAUCAGAAUAGCUUAACUUUUUUUUUUUAAUGGUGGUAACUGCUGGCAAGGAUGAAGAGAAACAGGAUCUCAUACAUUGCUGGGAAUGUAAAAUGGUACAGCCACUCUGGAAUAUAAUUUGGCAGUUUCUUGUAAAACCACACAUGUAUAUGUCAUGCUUCAGGAAUUGCACUUCUGAGCAUUUAUCCCAGAGAAAUGAAAACUUGCGUUCACACAAAAACCUGUAUACGAAUGUUCAUAGCAGCUUUAUUUGUAAUGGUCGAAACCUGUAGGCAACCCAUAUAUCCUUCCUUAGGUGGUUAAAACAAAUUGUGGUUUAUGUAUUACCAUGGAAUACUUGUUACUCUGCAAUAAAAUUGACUUAUUGAUAUCCAUAACAACUCAAAUAAAUUUCAAGGGAAUUAAUGCUGAGUGAAAAUAAUCACAAAAGGCCAUAUUCUGUAUGAAAAUAUUCAUAUAACAUUCUCAAAAUGAUAAAACUAUAGAGAUGAAAAAUGGAUUAAUGGUUGCCAAAGGUUAGGGAUGGUGGGAGGAAAAAUGGGGAGAGGGUUGGAUGGAACUAUUAAAAGGUAGCACCAGAAAGGUCUUUGUGGUGAUGGAACACUUGUGUAUCUUGAUUGCAGUGGUGGUUACACAAAUCUAUAGGUGCUAUACCUAUACACACAUACUGUACCAAUGUUGAUUUCCUUUUUCAUUUUAUGUAAGAUGUAACCAUGAGGGGAAAGUGGGUGAAGGGUGCUAUCUUUGCAACUUCCUGUGAUUCUAUCAUUUCAAAAUAAAAAGUAAAAACCAACAAUGGCAACGAAAACCCAAAACUAAAGAGCUGUAACCAACUAAAGUGUGUGAAACUGAUUUGAAAAAAAGUUAUAAAAUACAUGUUUUAGGACAGUUGGGAAAUUUGAAUAUGACUGGUUAUUAGAUGGUAUUAGGGAAUUUUUGUUGAUUUUCUUACCUGUGACGGUGGUGGUAGUUUGAAGAAUAUUCUUAAUCUUAAGGGAUGCAUGUUGAAGUAUUUGGAAUGAAGUGUUCUGAUGUUUACAACUUUCAAAAAAAUGAUUUUAAAUAUGUAUUGAGAGAUCAGGCAAACAUAGCAAAAUGUUCAUUGUUGAGUCCACAUGGAAAAUACGGGUAUUCAAUGUGCCAUACUUUCAACUCUUCUGUACUCUGAUAUUUUCAAAAUAAAACAUUUGAGGGGAAAUUA
Homo sapiens (human) is the source of this 7708-nucleotide RNA transcript. It is a transcript of the gene named ZNF660-ZNF197 readthrough, with no coding region annotated. The transcript is spliced from 8 exons. Lineage: Eukaryota; Metazoa; Chordata; Mammalia; Primates; Hominidae. The record is from RefSeq and is marked validated.